ACGUAAGAUAUCCAACUGAACAACAAGAUGAAAGUACAGAUCCCUCGUUAGCCUGGAAAAAAAAUCUACGCUCCAACAAAAUAAGGGAGUCUAAUGCACAAUGUAUGUAACACACAAAGGAACCCCAGAGGAGUGGGAACCAGACUUCUCCCACCCCAGGAAGACAGUGCUGGUUCAAAAUCCUUCAUUGGCCAAAAGGACAGUUUUACGCACAAGAAAAUGCAGGAGAACAGAAACAGGAAUCAUUGGCACGAACCCAAAUGAGAAAAGACUGGAAUAAAGGCAAACUCUUCAAGAUGCCUGAAACCAAGAUGCACCAAAGUCAGGAGCCAAGACUUCCCGGG
RNAcentral lists this long non-coding RNA (344 nucleotides) under Equus caballus (horse). RNAcentral's name for it is "lncRNA (ENSECAG00000041194.2)". The record is from RNAcentral. Lineage: Eukaryota; Metazoa; Chordata; Mammalia; Perissodactyla; Equidae.